Molecule: ribosomal RNA, 794 nt
Filed under: uncultured forest soil bacterium
Lineage: Bacteria
Description: bacterial SSU rRNA
Rfam family: Bacterial small subunit ribosomal RNA
Source: RNAcentral
GAACGCUUGUCGAGAUUUCGGUUUUGGCGAGAGUGGCGCACGGGUGAGUAGCGCGUGGGAACCUGCCCUGUUGUGGGGGAUAACCGAGGGAAACUUCGGCUAAUACCGCAUACGCCCGGGGGCGACUCCGGGGAAAGAUUGAUCGCAGCAGGAGGGGCCCGCGUCGGAUUAGGUAGUUGGCGGGGUAACGGCCCACCAAGCCUGUGAUCCGUAGCUGGUCUGAGAGGAUGAUCAGCCACACUGGGACUGAGACACGGCCCAGACUCCUACGGGAGGCAGCAGUGGGGAAUAUUGGACAAUGGGCGCAAGCCUGAUCCAGCAAUGCCGCGUGAGUGAUGAAGGCCUUCGGGUUGUAAAGCUCUUUCGCACGCGAGGAUGAUGACGCUAGCGUGAGAAGAAGCCCCGGCUAACUUCGUGCCAGCAGCCGCGGUAAUACGAAGGGGGCGAGCGUUGUUCGGAUUUACUGGGCGUAAAGGGCGCGUAGGCGGUGCGGCAAGUCAGGCGUGAAAGCCCCGGGCUCAACCUGGGAGGUGCGCUUGGGACUGCGGCACUGGAGUUCGGAAGAGGAGCGUGGAAUUCCCAGUGUAGAGGUGAAAUUCGUAGAUAUUGGGAAGAACACCGGUGGCGAAGGCGGCGCUCUGGACCGAUACUGACGCUGAGGCGCGAAAGCGUGGGGAGCAAACAGGAUUAGAUACCCUGGUAGUCCACGCGGUAAACGAUGUGUGCUAGACGUUGGGGAGCCUAGCUCUUCGGUGUCGCCGCUAACGCUUUAAGCACACCGCCUGGGGAGUACG